RNAcentral lists this unclassified non-coding RNA (337 nucleotides) under soil metagenome. RNAcentral's name for it is "partial contains 5.8S ribosomal RNA, internal transcribed spacer 2, and large subunit ribosomal RNA". The stretch from base 1 to 120 matches the Rfam family "5.8S ribosomal RNA", at positions 35 to 154 of the family's 154-position model. The record is from RNAcentral.
GAUGAAGAACGCAGCGAAAUGCGAUAAGUAAUGUGAAUUGCAGAAUUCAGUGAAUCAUCGAAUCUUUGAACGCACAUUGCGCCCGCCAGUAUUCUGGCGGGCAUGCCUGUUCGAGCGUCAUUUCAACCAUCAAGCCCCCCGGCUUGUGUUGGGGACCUGCGGCUGCCGCAGGCCCUGAAAAGCAGUGGCGGGCUCGCUGUCACACCGAGCGUAGUAGAUCUCAUCUCGCUCAGGGCGUGCUGCGGGUUCCGGCCGUUAAACCACCUUCAUAACCCAAGGUUGACCUCGGAUCAGGUAGGAAGACCCGCUGAACUUAAGCAUAUCAAUAAGCGGAGGU